This is a long non-coding RNA of Salvelinus sp. IW2-2015, 1620 nucleotides long. RefSeq lists it as uncharacterized. NCBI's taxonomy places the organism in Eukaryota, Metazoa, Chordata, Actinopteri, Salmoniformes, Salmonidae. The record is from RefSeq and is a predicted model, not a curated record.
CUUUAGGAAUUUAGUGAAGUAAAAGUAGUCAAAUAUAAAAAUGUACAGAUACCCCCAAAAAAUGACUUUACYCCACUGGUCAUCAUCCAAUAUGAUUACAUAGUAAACUGUCUUAAAAGGGGAAUGGAAACACUUUGGGAAGUAAAUCUAAGCAAAGAAAUGUAUUCAAACCACUAAUACUAAACAUGUCAUGUUAAAUGCACAUCUCUAUAUUUAGUAUUUUGAUCGUCAACCAGGUUUAUUUGAGCUAUGGUCUGCGCCAUUUUAAUUGCCAAAGUAACGACUAACACCAGUGCGUCACUGGCAGGAAUCAGCAUAUUGUCUGUGGAAUUGAGUUUUCGCACGGAGAGUGAAUCGAAGAGAGUACGGUUAGGUGCGGAUAACGAAGAUUGCAACGAACAAGUAGAAAUUCAAACAUGAAUUGUAUAGCGCCAGGCUGUAUGAAUUGGCUCCCCUAAAAAAAUCCCUAGGUAAACUACCAUCCAGUCUAAGGACCCACAACUUUUGAAGUGGCUCCAUGCCCUGAAGAGGAAGGACGUGCCAGCUCGAACUAGCAGAAUCUGCAGACAGCACUUCGCGAAAGCAGACUUCGCGAUGAAGGACACUUUCCACGCGGCAACUGGGAGUUUCCGAAUAGAAAGGAGUCAUAGACCUACGUUGAAGCCCUCUGCUUGCGCCUCCACCAUAACCCUCAAAUGUCAAAUGUAGGGGUUACCGACCGAUCAUCAACAUCGCUGACUUUGGAGUCAAGCAAAAGCGACUGAACGGAGGUGGCGAUGCGAGUCAAUGCAAUGGAGCCUGAGGUAACGUUAACCGGUCAUGACUGUUGACUAGGCUAGCGUUAGACACUGGACAACUUUGUUGCAACUAGUUGAAGGAAAGAACGGUUAGUACAGCAUGCCAAACUGACCCCUGGGUGCCAGAGUGUUCCUGUGCUGCGGUGGAGAAGUGGUCCACCGGGACCAUCACUAAAGAGCCAGGGGCCCAGAUACAUUGCGCUCACGACCAUCAGUAUACAACCGAGUCCUGCCCCUAUACGCCACAGAUGGAGCUGACAGUCAGAUCAGCCAUCCAUAAAAGGGAAUCGGAGUGGAACUGUUUUUCCCGCUGAUUUUUUUUAACCCGUUUCAAUGGAUGUGCUACCUUGUCGCGGUCCUGCUGUUUCGACUCUCUCAACCUAUGAAUGCUCAGCUAUGAAAAGCCAACUGACAUUUGCACCCUCUAUAACCACUGUGGUUAUUAUUUUGAUGUAAAAAGGACUUUUGUAAAAUACAUUUGAUUGAUUGCUGUGCUGGAUGCUGUGUAUUCAAAACUGUCUGAGUGAUGUAACAUAUUUGUGGAUUUGAUCUGCAUUUUAACUUCUUAAAGUGGCAAUCAGCAGUAGAAACAAAGUGUCUCCCUGCUCCUCUUUCGGUGAAAAACUGGAGGGAUGGGGCUGGAGAAAUGUAACCACUCAAAUUUCAUAGACAGAGAUAUAAAUGCAAGGACUAACCAUCCAUGAUAUCAAAAUUGUAAUCCUGUUUCUCUGAUCUGUUUCCACUACCAUGUACCCAGUUCACGUUGGAUAAAGGUGUCUGCUAAAACGGCAUAUAUUAUUAAAGUCUACUUUGACUCCAACUA